This 478-nucleotide ribosomal RNA is filed under the name uncultured bacterium. RNAcentral describes it as "partial 16S ribosomal RNA". It matches the Rfam family "Bacterial small subunit ribosomal RNA", at positions 28 to 523 of the family's 1533-position model. The record is from RNAcentral.
GACGAACGCUGGCGGCGUGCUUAACACAUGCAAGUCGAACGGUAAGGCCCUUCGGGGUACACGAGUGGCGAACGGGUGAGUAACACGUGGGUGAUCUGCCCUGCACUUCGGGAUAAGCCUGGGAAACUGGGUCUAAUACCGGAUAGGACUCCGGACUGCAUGGUCUGGGGUGGAAAGCUUUUGCGGUGUGGGAUGGGCCCGCGGCCUAUCAGCUUGUUGGUGGGGUGAUGGCCUACCAAGGCGACGACGGGUAGCCGGCCUGAGGGGGUGACCGGCCACACUGGGACUGAGAUACGGCCCAGACUCCUACGGGAGGCAGCAGUGGGGAAUAUUGCACAAUGGGCGCAAGCCUAAUGCAGCGACGCCGCGUGAGGGAUGACGGCCUUCGGGUUGUAAACCUCUUUCAGCAUCGACGAAGCGAAAGUGACGGUAGGUGCAGAAGAAGGACCGGCCAACUACGUGCCAGCAGCCGCCGCAG